CCAUGCAUGAGAUACUUUUCUUCUAUCUUUCAAUGCAUAAGAUACCUUAGUUGUCUUCGUUAGUAGAAUAAUUGGUUCACAAUUCUUUUGCUUUCUUGGCUUUUGGAAUAAAACUUUUUGAUAAACAAGCAAGGGAUCAUUUCAAUAUGAACAUAUAUAGGAUGAUUACCCAAAUAGUCUUGGAUGCCAAUUAGGUCCUGAAUACUUUAAUUCUGCCAAUGUAGUUUUAUGCUUUUGCAGGAAUUUUUGAUGUCAUCCUUUCGACUGAUUGCAAUCGGAAAUUAUAGACGUGGAAACUCGAUAUUCUUCAAUUGCCGCUGCAAAUUCUAAUAUAGUCCUAAACAUCAUAAUGCUCAUUCCUCAAGUGCUGCGUGAAUUUUUGUUCUGGCCCAUCUUUUGGAAACUCGAGAUUGCUCGACUUGAGCAGCUUGUGUCUAGUCUAAUAAAACAAAAAAGAAAUCGUUGCCGCGUGUGUGAACAUUUCCGUCGGUGCAUCAUUCUAUAUAUACGAGUGCACGAAAACAUACCAUAUGAGAAUUCAAAGGAGAGGCAUAAUAGAGAGAGAGAGAGAGAGAGAGAGAGAGAAUGGCGGUUGCGGGAGUAGACGAGAAUUCUUUAGAGUACACGCCGACGUGGGUGGUGGCUCUAGUUUGCUUCAGCAUAUUGUUCAUUUCUAUCGUUGUUGAUAGAUUCAUUCGCUGCGCCGGCCAGGUGACUACUCUUGCUUCCUAAGGUCCGAGAGUACGGACCUCUCCUAAGCAUGUCAAUUACGAUGCCGGCAAUUCUUUAACUCGAGUUCCCAUGCAGUAUUUGGAGGAAAGCAAAUGGUGGCCGCUUGUCGGCGGCUCAAGGAAGAUCAAAGAUGAAUUGAUGCUAUUUGGUGUCAUAUCGCUUCUCCUGACGGUGUUCCAACCUAGAAUAGCGAAGAUUUGCAUAUCAAAGCGACUCAACAACGUCUUGCUGCCUUGCAAGAAGCCCGACUCUUCUUCUGCCGUCGCCAAUUUCAUUACUAGUUCCUCCGCUUCCAGUGCAACACAAGGACGCCAUCUCCUCGCCAUGGCUUCUCAUACCGCAGAUUACUGUAGCCAAAAAGGGAAGGUGGCAUUGCUGCCUGUUGAAGCAGUCCACCAGCUGGACGUUUUCAUCUUUGUGCUAGCUACCUUUCACGUGAUCCUCUGUGU
This is an RNA transcript of Eucalyptus grandis, 1181 nucleotides long. It is a transcript of the gene named MLO-like protein 15, with no coding region annotated. The transcript is spliced from 3 exons. The record is from RefSeq and is a predicted model, not a curated record. Lineage: Eukaryota; Viridiplantae; Streptophyta; Magnoliopsida; Myrtales; Myrtaceae.